RNAcentral lists this long non-coding RNA (598 nucleotides) under Mytilus galloprovincialis (Mediterranean mussel). The record is from RNAcentral. Lineage: Eukaryota; Metazoa; Mollusca; Bivalvia; Mytilida; Mytilidae.
CCCCCUCCUCUUUCCUUUCGUAGAAAUAAAUUGUUCGUCCCUUGCACAAGUCACAGACAUCUGUACAAUGUUCUAAGCUAUAUAUCUCGAUGAUAGAUGUAAGGUUAAAAUAUAUAAAUAUAACAAAGACUUCCAUCAUGAUCUUGCAGAUAUCCGUCGCAGAUCAAGUAGAGAGUAAAGGUUGUGUCAACGUCUCCUAGUUGUCCCCCCCCUUAAAAUUUGAAAAUCUCAUUUCUAAGAAUAAAAUAAUCCAAAAAUUAUUCUUCACGGCAGUAUUUCUAACGUUUUAGGAAACACGACUCCCCUUUUUUUAAAUUCGUUUGUUCAUCCACCCCUGGAUAAACUCAGGGAAAUGAAUGACGAACUUUGUGUAUACGGAUAAGAGCAUGAAUACAUGUGGAUAGUCUGGGCAUAUAUUUCAUACAAAAAUGUUUGUAAAAUAUUGUACAUUGUUCUGGUCUUGAUCACAAGAACGACAACAUUUGUAUCAUCGAAAAUAUGCCUGUGCUAUUUGUAACUUGACGUUUAACAUUCAUCAGUUUAUUUUAUUUAUAGAAUCAUCCGAUGGAAAACUACUUCAGUUUAUACUUGAAAAUUG